CAAUGCUUUGAGUUCAGUUCAGGGCAGCUUUCCUGUUCUGUUAAUGAAACUCUGGGACAUUGAACCUGCUACGGUAGAUGAGCGCAUAGAAGUAUUACUCUAUUCAUUUACCUCCCAGCCUACAAAA
This is a small nucleolar RNA of Diceros bicornis minor, 127 nucleotides long. Lineage: Eukaryota; Metazoa; Chordata; Mammalia; Perissodactyla; Rhinocerotidae. The record is from RefSeq and is a predicted model, not a curated record.